CCCUUACACACCACUCUUCUCUCUCGCAAUCAAACUCUCUAGCUGUUCUUCAUCGAUCUCUGUCGCUCGAGGGCUUUGCUCUAGCUGUUCUUCAUCGAACUCGAACUCGAUCUCGAUCUGUUCUUCAGAUCAGAUCAUUAUCAUUCUUCGAUUCUCUUCUUCUCUCUUCGAUCUCUUUGCAAACCUCUAUCUCUCUCCAAACUCUGUUUGGUCUAUCUGUGUUCGAUCAUGGAGAUGAAACGUAUGAUCGAGUUUCCACACCCGUACAUGGAUCGUUGUCCCAGAACGAGGCCGCGUUUGGGUUGGGACGUUGCUCCUCAGGCCCUUAAGGUGGGGUGAAGCCAUAUUUAUGGGUUUAAAUGAUAGUGGUCUUCUGGUGAAACUUCAUGGGGAUACUGGAUCAGUCACAUUAGAUGCUAGCUCAGUUAGAUUGGCACCAUUAUGGAUUAAUGAGCAGAAGUCAUGGCAAGUUACUCUAGUCAAGAUUGAGAUGAACGAUCUGGAGUUGCGUAAGGUACUGCUUUUUAUCAAGAUUGUUUGUCUUUUCCUUUGUUUCGUAUUGAUCUAGCACCCUUCUUUUAAGGGUCCAUUUGGAUAGAUGUGGAUUUCAAUUCCUGUAAUUGUCACACAAAAAAUAAAUAAAAUCAAGGGAUUUGAGGUUAAAUAGAUAGAAAAACAAUGGAAGAAGAUAAGUUAAGAUACAAGAUAUAUAUAUAUAUACAUAUUAGUAGGAUCCUUGUAGCUAGAAAGAGAAUUCUUAGCAUUAUUUCAAAUAACUAAUUUUAUAGUUAUUUCAAAUCCAUCAUGAUAAAGCUAUUUAACUCAAUCUUGAAAUUCAUAAGUAAACAAUCAUAUCUAAAUUUAAGUUGUUGUCCUUUAAUGAUUAAGGUCAAAUCCGUUGAUUUCAAAUCCAUAUCUAUUCAAAGGGUUCCUGAUAUUUUCAUAGGGUUAAUAAUUUGCUUUCUUUGGCUUAUUAAUAUACUUUUGUUCCAUUCUGCGUUUUUUUUAUUUUUGUUACCUUCCUUCAGGUAGUUGGGAUCAAAUCUAACAAUAAGAAAGCAAAUAAUCUGAGUCAAAUUGUUUUUGUGCCUAAUUUGAAAGCAAAACCUCUAAAGAAAAUACCAGAAAGAUCCAGUCUCCAACAAAUAACUGCAGAUCAAUAUGCC
Molecule: non-coding RNA, 1166 nt
Organism: Camellia sinensis
Lineage: Eukaryota; Viridiplantae; Streptophyta; Magnoliopsida; Ericales; Theaceae
Source: RefSeq, a predicted model, not a curated record